Molecule: ribosomal RNA, 424 nt
Filed under: Verrucomicrobiota bacterium
Lineage: Bacteria; Pseudomonadati; Verrucomicrobiota
Description: Verrucomicrobia bacterium partial 16S ribosomal RNA
Rfam family: Bacterial small subunit ribosomal RNA
Source: RNAcentral
UGAGGAAUAUUGGUCAAUGGACGAGAGUCUGAACCAGCCAAGUAGCGUGCAGGAUGACGGCCCUAUGGGUUGUAAACUGCUUUUGUUUGGGAAUAAUCGACAUUACGUGUAAUGUUUUGCAUGUACCAUUCGAAUAAGGAUCGGCUAAUUCCGUGCCAGCAGCCGCGGUAAUACGGAAGGUCCAGGCGUUAUCCGGAUUUAUUGGGUUUAAAGGGAGUGUAGGCGGUUGGUUAAGCGUGUUGUGAAAUGUAGAUGCUCAACAUCUGACUUGCAGCGCGAACUGGCUGACUUGAGUACACACAACGUAGGCGGAAUUCAUGGUGUAGCGGUGAAAUGCUUAGAUAUCAUGAAGAACUCCGAUUGCGAAGGCAGCUUACGGGAGUGUUACUGACGCUUAAGCUCGAAGGUGCGGGUAUCGAACAGG